GAAAUUCUAGUCUUAUCGGUGGAUCACUCGGCUCGUGGAUCGAUGAAGAACGCAGCCAACUGCGAUAACUAGUGCGAACUGCAGAAACCUUGAACACAAAACAUUCGAAUGCACAUUGCGCCAUUGGAGUUACAUCCAUUGGCACGCCUGGUUCAGGGUCGUUAUCACAAAAUGCACUGCUGUGUGCGUGUUGUUCUCGUGAGAUCGCGUCUGCCUUUAACGUGUUCUUGCGCUAUGUUCGAGCCCAGCUGUGGGACAAGGUUGUGCUAGCAUGGAACUGUGUUGAUCUUCCAUGCUUUGCGCACUGCGUAACUCGUGGCGCGACCUUGUCUCAUGUAUGCUGAGGUGGAAUGCUGCUUGGCUUGUGGCAUUCUGCGCUUGAAUUUUCGACCUGAACUCAGACGUGAGUACCCGCUGAACUUAAGCAUAU
This 430-nucleotide ribosomal RNA is filed under the name Heterodera zeae. Its description in RNAcentral is "partial 5.8S ribosomal RNA". The stretch from base 8 to 161 matches the Rfam family "5.8S ribosomal RNA". Lineage: Eukaryota; Metazoa; Nematoda; Chromadorea; Rhabditida; Heteroderidae. The record is from RNAcentral.